Molecule: long non-coding RNA, 534 nt
Organism: Callorhinus ursinus (northern fur seal)
Lineage: Eukaryota; Metazoa; Chordata; Mammalia; Carnivora; Otariidae
Source: RefSeq, a predicted model, not a curated record
GAAUCCAGUCACCAUGCUGUGAGGAUGCCCAAACUAAUCCAUGCAGAAAGACCACAUGGAGAGGGCCACAUGGAGAUCUGAGGCUUUCAGCUGACAGCCAGCAAGAACCAAUAGACAAGCAAGUGAAUAAACUUUCAGUCCCCAGCCUUCAAGUUCUCCAGCUUGUCUCAUGGAAAAAGAGACAAGCCAUCCUCGAGAUGCCCUGCUUAAAUUCCGAACCUACAGAAUCUGUCAAAUCCCACCUUAGAUUUAGAAGUAUAAUCUUAUCUUCUGAGUGCAAAGCUGAUCCAAAAGUGGAAGCAAUAGGAAAUUUCAGGAAUCACAGCAGGCUCUUAGAAAGUCUUUUGGGGACCAGAACUCUCCUGGGAACUCUAACUUUGCCCAGCCCACUGUUAUGUCAUGAACACAUCUAUGGAAACAUCCAAUGUGAUAAGGAACUGAGGUCUCUGACCAACACGUGAGUAAGAAGGGGAGCAGAUCCGCCAGACCCAGCAGACAUCUUGGCUGCACCCUCAGGAAAGGCCCUGAGCUAGA